ACUCCUACGGGAGGCAGCAGUGGGAAGUAUUGCACAAUGGGGAAACCCUGAUGCAGCCAUGCCGCGUGUGUGAAGAAGGCCUUCGGUUGUAAAGCACUUUCAGUAGGGAGGAAGGUAGUGUAGUUAACACCUGCAUUAUUUGACGUUACCUACAGAAGAAGCACCGGCUAACUCCGUGCCAGCAGCCGCGGUAAUACGGAGGGUGCGAGCGUUAAUCGGAAUUACUGGGCGUAAAGCGCAUGCAGGCGGCUUGUUAAGUCAGAUGUGAAAGCCCGGGGGCUUAACCUCGGAAUUGCAUUUGAAACUGGCAGGCUAGAGUCUUGUAGAGGGGGUAGAAUUUCAGGUGUAGCGGUGAAAUGCGUAGAGAUCUGAAGGAAUACCAGUGGCGAAGGCGGCCCCCUGGACAAAGACUGACGCUCAGAUGCGAAAGCGUGGGGAGCGAAACAGGAUUAGAUACCCUGGUAGCAC
Molecule: ribosomal RNA, 468 nt
Filed under: uncultured bacterium
Lineage: Bacteria
Description: bacterial SSU rRNA
Rfam family: Bacterial small subunit ribosomal RNA
Source: RNAcentral